RNAcentral lists this unclassified non-coding RNA (197 nucleotides) under Dactylospongia elegans. RNAcentral describes it as "sequence contains 28S rRNA gene". Lineage: Eukaryota; Metazoa; Porifera; Demospongiae; Dictyoceratida; Thorectidae. The record is from RNAcentral.
UACUCCUCGUGAGCACGGACCAGCAGCGGUUGAGCCGGAGCCACAAGACCGCAGGGAAGGUGAGUCGAUGAGCACCUGUCGCACAUUGACGGCAUAUAGCCCUGCGGCACGGCGCUCCGGUCCGACCGAGGAAGGAGGGCAGCCCUUGCCCGUCGUGGUACACGCCGUAAGGCGGGGCCUCCCGACACAAGUGAACC